AACGCGAAGAACCUUACCUACUCUUGACAUCCUCGGAAGCUUUCAGAGAUGAGAGUGUGCCUUCGGGAACCGAGAGACAGGUGCUGCAUGGCUGUCGUCAGCUCGUGUCGUGAGAUGUUGGGUUAAGUCCCGUAACGAGCGCAACCCCUAUCAUUAGUUGCCAUCGGGUAAUGCCGGGAACUCUAAUGAGACUGCCGGUGAUAAGCCGGAGGAAGGCGGGGAUGACGUCAAGUCAUCAUGGCCCUUACGAGUAGGGCUACACACGUGCUACAAUGGGCGGUACAGAGGGAAGCGAAGCCGCGAGGUGAAGCGAAUCUCAAGAAAGCCGCUCGUAGUCCGGAUUGGAGUCUGCAACUCGACUCCAUGAAGUUGGAAUCGCUAGUAAUCGCGGAUCAGAACGCCGCGGUGAAUACGUUCCCGGGCCUUGUACACACCGAGACGUA
Molecule: ribosomal RNA, 443 nt
Filed under: uncultured bacterium
Lineage: Bacteria
Description: bacterial SSU rRNA
Rfam family: Bacterial small subunit ribosomal RNA
Source: RNAcentral